GGGAUUGAGAAGCUUGCUCUUCAUGAGAGUGGCGCACGGGUGCGUAACACGUAUGUAACCUACCUUAAUCAGGGGGAUAGCCUCUCGAAAGAGAGAUUAACACCGCAUAAAAUCAAUUUAUGGCAUCAUAGAAUGAUCAAAUAUUUAUAGGAUUAAGAUGGGCAUGCGGAACAUUAGCUAGUUGGUAAGGUAACGGCUUACCAAGGCUACGAUGUUUAGGGGAUCUGAGAGGAUGACCCCCCACACUGGUACUGAGACACGGACCAGACUCCUACGGGAGGCAGCAGUAAGGAAUAUUGGUCAAUGGGCGCAAGCCUGAACCAGCCAUGCCGCGUGCAGGAAGACGGCCCUACGGGUUGUAAACUGCUUUUGUACCGGAAUAAACCUUUGUAUGUAUACGAAGCUGAAUGUACGGUAAGAAUAAGGAUCGGCUAACUCCGUGCCAGCAGCCGCGGUAAUACGGAGGAUCCAAGCGUUAUCCGGAUUUAUUGGGUUUAAAGGGUGCGUAGGUGGCCUAUUAAGUCAGGGGUGAAAGACGGUAGCUCAACUAUCGCAGUGCCUUUGAUACUGAUGGGCUUGAAUACACUAGAGGUAGGCGGAAUGUGACAAGUAGCGGUGAAAUGCAUAGAUAUGUCACAGAACACCAAUUGCGAAGGCAGCUUACUAUGGUGUCAUUGACACUGAGGCACGAAAGCGUGGGGAUCAAACAGGAUUAGAUACCCUGGUAGUCCACGCCCUAAACGAUGAGCACUCGAUGUUGGCGAUAUACGGUCAGCGUCUAAGCGAAAGCGUU
This 793-nucleotide ribosomal RNA is filed under the name uncultured bacterium. RNAcentral's name for it is "bacterial SSU rRNA". It matches the Rfam family "Bacterial small subunit ribosomal RNA", at positions 68 to 861 of the family's 1533-position model. The record is from RNAcentral.